UCAGUGCGACUGGUAGUUACAAGACGCAAGUCUUGAGGAAAGUCCGAGCUGCUAUAAGACAGAGUUCCACCUAACGGGUGGCUAGGGAAACCUAAGGGAUAGUGCAACAGAAAGAAAACUACCGCUUUUGCGGUGAUGGUGAAACGGUGAGGUAAGAGCUCACCAGCAUUUGUAGCAAUACAUUUGGCUAUGUAAACCCAACUCGCAGCAAGAAGGGAUGGUUUGGAGUCUUAUAUUCAACCCUUCGCUCAAAUUUGAUUGUGAAAUCAAAAUUUAGAUAAAUGACUACCAUAAACAGAACUCGGCUUAUGGUCGCACUUUUAUA
RNAcentral lists this RNase P RNA (325 nucleotides) under Campylobacter hyointestinalis subsp. hyointestinalis. Its description in RNAcentral is "RNase P RNA component class A". It matches the Rfam family "Bacterial RNase P class A". From Rfam's summary of the family: Ribonuclease P (RNase P) is a ubiquitous endoribonuclease, found in archaea, bacteria and eukarya as well as chloroplasts and mitochondria. Its best characterised activity is the generation of mature 5'-ends of tRNAs by cleaving the 5'-leader elements of precursor-tRNAs. The record is from RNAcentral. Lineage: Bacteria; Pseudomonadati; Campylobacterota; Epsilonproteobacteria; Campylobacterales; Campylobacteraceae.